UCCAAAGGAGAACUUCAUCACCAGGAGAAAAAGUCGCAGCACAGUGGGUCGAGUCGUAACGAAACUUGCGAGCAUCCUGGGAGAUGCCGGUGUUAAGCGGGGCGAGGCGACUGCAGUCUGCGAGGCGAGACACAAACUGUUCCGAGAAAGGAACUGAUGGGAGUACAGGAGUCGAAAGGAAUGAUUCAUCAAGGAUGAAACUUGGUGAACAGCCAUAGAUGAAGAAAAAAGGUGAAAAGCCAGUAGUACGUUGCGUAGCCAUGUUAUUAGGCGAAUGUCACGAACGGCAGGAUUGCAUCCCAGUUCGUGUGGCCGGGGCGGAUGUACAUCGCAAUCAUGUCAGAGAGGGUACGGUGAAAACACUCCGUCAAGCUGUUGGUCUGCGGAUGGUAACUGGAAGUCGUCUUGUGAAUUGUGUUAGAGGCGCACAGAACUUCGGUAAGGAUAGAAGAGAGGAAGACUGCUGUGGUCACUGAGGAGAACGCGCGGAGCGCUGCGGUGUAAGGUAAUGUUGUGUAGAAAGAAAUCGGCGACUUCAGCAGCAGUCCCGGAUGGUAGAGAUGCUGUCUCCGCAUAGCGUGUUGGAUGGUCUACAGCCGUUGCAAUCCAACGAUUGCCAUGUAAGGUCGUGUGAAGAGGACCGUAUAAGUCUAUUCCAACUACUUCGAAAGGCGAAGCGGGACAAGGCAGAGGUUGUAAAGAGCCAGAAGGAGCUGUUGGAUGUUUUGUACAUGCAAGGGAACACUAUAGGCAUUUGAUAGCCGUUGCUUAGAUGUACCACAUUAACAGGAACCAAACAAACUCCCUCAGACAUAAGCAUGCAACAAAUUCAAGCACUAGAUGAAGCUUCAAAGAAGUAACUGUGUUUCAUGUAGGACAGGAGUGAAUGACCUUUGUGCAUGAAAUCAGUUAUAAAAACACUAAAUGAAUGCAGUACAGUGUCUGUAUCAUAUCUUAUGCAGACCAAACUAGCCUAGAGUUUCAGCGUUCCUUGUCAGUUCAUUUAAAUAGGCACUACAUUGUUCAGAGUGCAAUAUUCUACAAAACAUAAAAUGCAAGAUGUAGCAUGCUAACCCUCGUGGCUCAACAACUACUGAACCGAAACCUCAAUGAGCAGUGAAUAUUCCUUGUAAUUUUCAUCGUAACCAUACUUUUGCUCUUGAAAGUGAACCUCUUUAGUGAAUUUGCUUGUGUAUUAAUUUUUCACUAGGCAAGUAUUUUUUUACAUGUUAAUGUCUCAAUCCUGCUUUCUCUUCCCGGAGCUAAAACAAAAUGCCUCUUAUUUCAAUUUGAUCUUUCGACCUAGGAGGCCAUCAUCUGGUGCUGUGUACAGCAAGCACAUGCUUCGGGCAAGGAGGGAGCCAGCACCAUAUCUACAUCAGCAAGAACAUCGGUGCUCAAAAUAAACAUUUUCUGUGCAAA
Molecule: long non-coding RNA, 1422 nt
Filed under: Dermacentor andersoni
Lineage: Eukaryota; Metazoa; Arthropoda; Arachnida; Ixodida; Ixodidae
Description: uncharacterized LOC126529680
Source: RNAcentral